AACAAGAAGACAUACGUUACUUCCUCCUCCUCCUCCUCCUGCACCGUCAACCACUAGAGCAGUAGCAGAAGCAGCUUCAAAACCCCACAACAUGACAACAUCCAAACGCCUGUCUGAGCGGAAGAUCGCAAAGUUUGAGAAGAACAUAACCCGUAGAGGACUCACUUUUUCCAGCAAGAAAGCAUUUGAACCUGCACACAUUGUCCUCUUGCUCUUUGCUGUUUUGGUCGUUGGAUCAUUUAUUUUUCAGGUUGUCAGGAUGGCGCUUAAAGGUGAAGCACCUUGAGGAACUAAAGACGAUUUAUCAAGAACUGCUGCCUAUAGCUCAUGUCAAUAUGUACCAAAUGAAAAGAAUGCAAAUUGUUGAAAACUAAAGAACUA
Long non-coding RNA from Coffea arabica (coffee), 381 nucleotides. RefSeq lists it as uncharacterized. The record is from RefSeq and is a predicted model, not a curated record. Lineage: Eukaryota; Viridiplantae; Streptophyta; Magnoliopsida; Gentianales; Rubiaceae.